GAGAGAGAGAGAGAGAGAGAGAGAGAGAGAGAGAAUAAACAAAUAAAUACAUCUUCCAAACAAGACAAUGGAACAAUGGAAUACAAUAAACACAAGAGAAACAUAACAACAAAAACAAGCACCGUUAGAAAAGAUGAAAAGCAACCCGCGCUUACACAACUUCAUUUCAUCGCUAGCAGCAUCAGCAGGAGUCUCUAACCAGGAACAAAUCAGCGAGUGUUUCUUGUCUUGUAAUCUGACAGGCCAGGACGGUGCGAGGACGAGGACAGGAGACGCAGCCAGUGCAGAAUGGAGGAGAGAGAGGGACAUCCCGCAGACCUCGAGGACAAGAGAGACAGACUGCGAGAGGCGAUUCUGUGGCAACGCAUGAAGGAAACUCAUGACGCGAAGGUGGCGGAGAAGCUGGACGUGUUGGCAGCAUUGAUGGAAACCUACCCGGGCUUCAGUGUUGGCGGUUUGUUUGUCAUCACUAAGAGGAACCUGGUCGGGCUUGCGAGUUUCAUGGCGACCUACCUGGUGAUUCUUCUGCAGUUCCAUAUGGGAGAUCAAUGAAGAGAGUGAGGAGGAGGAGGAGCAGCAGCAGCAGCAGGAGGAAUGAUAAUGUCAAUAAAAGGAAAAGGUCG
Molecule: long non-coding RNA, 623 nt
Organism: Scylla paramamosain (green mud crab)
Lineage: Eukaryota; Metazoa; Arthropoda; Malacostraca; Decapoda; Portunidae
Exons: 5
Source: RefSeq, a predicted model, not a curated record